Molecule: long non-coding RNA, 478 nt
Filed under: Rattus norvegicus (Norway rat)
Lineage: Eukaryota; Metazoa; Chordata; Mammalia; Rodentia; Muridae
Description: long non-coding RNA NONRATT000347
Source: RNAcentral
GUGAGAGGGCAUGGCUCCAGGUCGCUUUUUCCAGGAGAGGGUCAAAGGCGGGGCUUCCACGUUUGGGGCGAGGCCUGUGGCAUGGCGUAGGAAAGCGGGUCUGAGAGGGAGCCAGAAUUGAGGACAGGCUGAACCAAGACUGAAAGUGACGAUGGGAAGAAGAUGCAGGCCAAAGACUGAGACUCUCUAAGGCUUUGAGAAAAAUGUGGGAAGGAUGUUCUGGAAGCAGGCAGAACCAAGAUGAGGGUCCAUGGGGUCCGCCCAAGACAGUCGGAGGCAAAGUGCUGAGAACAAGAAAGAUGCCUGGGUAGAUAAUGGGUGCGGCGUAAGAGGAGAGAUCUUAAAGUAUGAUUGGCAGGCGGAGCUGAUCCGUGAGGACAUCCAAGGGGCUCUGCAGAACUACCGCUCCGGACGUGGGGAACGCAGGGCGGCAGCACUCAGGUGAGGAGAAGAGGGAAACAGAUGAAGAGCGCUCUGG